GAUGAACGCUGGCGGCGUGCCUAAUACAUGCAAGUCGAGCGAACGGACGAGAAGCUUGCUCCUCUGAUGUUAGCGGCGGACGGGUGAGUAACACGUGGAUAACCUACCUAUAAGACUGGGAUAACUUCGGGAAACCGGAGCUAAUACCGGAUAAUAUAUUGAACCGCAUGGUUCAAAAGUGAAAGACGGUCUUGCUGUCACUUAUAGAUGGAUCCGCGCUGCAUUAGCUAGUUGGUAAGGUAACGGCUUACCAAGGCAACGAUGCAUAGCCGACCUGAGAGGGUGAUCGGCCACACUGGAACUGAGACACGGUCCAGACUCCUACGGGAGGCAGCAGUAGGGAAUCUUCCGCAAUGGGCGAAAGCCUGACGGAGCAACGCCGCGUGAGUGAUGAAGGUCUUCGGAUCGUAAAACUCUGUUAUUAGGGAAGAACAAAUGUGUAAGUAACUGUGCACGUCUUGACGGUACCUAAUCAGAAAGCCACGGCUAACUACGUG
This 497-nucleotide ribosomal RNA is filed under the name uncultured bacterium. RNAcentral's name for it is "partial 16S ribosomal RNA". It matches the Rfam family "Bacterial small subunit ribosomal RNA", at positions 28 to 507 of the family's 1533-position model. The record is from RNAcentral.